CCUACGGGAGUCUGCAGUCGAGAAUCAUUCACAAUGGGGGAAACCCUGAUGGUGCGACGCCGCGUGGGGGAAUGAAGGUCUUCGGAUUGUAAACCCCUGUCAUGUGGGAGCAAAUUAAAAAGAUAGUACCACAAGAGGAAGAGACGGCUAACUCUGUGCCAGCAGCCGCGGUAAUACAGAGGUCUCAAGCGUUGUUCGGAAUCACUGGGCGUAAAGCGUGCGUAGGCUGUUUCGUAAGUCGUGUGUGAAAGGCGCGGGCUCAACCCGCGGACGGCACAUGAUACUGCGAGACUAGAGUAAUGGAGGGGGAACCGGAAUUCUCGGUGUAGCAGUGAAAUGCGGAGAUAUCGAGAGGAACACUCGGGGCGAAGGCGGGUUCCUGGACAUUAACUGACGCUGAGGCACGAAGGCCAGGGGAGCGAAAGGGAUUAGAUACCCCGGUAGUC
This 446-nucleotide ribosomal RNA is filed under the name uncultured bacterium. RNAcentral describes it as "partial 16S ribosomal RNA". It matches the Rfam family "Bacterial small subunit ribosomal RNA", at positions 338 to 795 of the family's 1533-position model. The record is from RNAcentral.